AGCGAACGCUGGCGGCAGGCCUAACACAUGCAAGUCGAACGAACUCUUCGGAGUUAGUGGCGGACGGGUGAGUAACACGUGGGAACGUGCCUUUUGGUUCGGAAUAACUCAGGGAAACUUGUGCUAAUACCGAAUGCGCCCUUCGGGGGAAAGAUUUAUCGCCAUUAGAGCGGCCCGCGUCUGAUUAGCUAGUUGGUGAGGUAACGGAUCACCAAGGCGACGAUCAGUAGCUGGUCUGAGAGGAUGACCAGCCACACUGGGACUGAGACACGGCCCAGACUCCUACGGGAGGCAGCAGUGGGGAAUCUUGCGCAAUGGGCGAAAGCCUGACGCAGCCAUGCCGCGUGAAUGAUGAAGGUCUUAGGAUUGUAAAAUUCUUUCACCGGGGACGAUAAUGACGGUACCCGGAGAAGAAGCCCCGGCUAACUUCGUG
Molecule: ribosomal RNA, 433 nt
Filed under: uncultured bacterium
Lineage: Bacteria
Description: partial 16S ribosomal RNA
Rfam family: Bacterial small subunit ribosomal RNA
Source: RNAcentral